This 253-nucleotide ribosomal RNA is filed under the name uncultured bacterium. RNAcentral describes it as "partial 16S ribosomal RNA". It matches the Rfam family "Bacterial small subunit ribosomal RNA", at positions 524 to 776 of the family's 1533-position model. The record is from RNAcentral.
GACAGAGGGUGCAAACGUUGUUCGGAAUUACUGGGCGUAAAGCGCAUGUAGGUGGUCCAGCAAGUCGGAUGUGAAAGCCCACGGCUCAACCGUGGAAGUGCAUUCGAAACUGCUGAACUUGAGUCCCGGAGAGGAUAGUGGAAUUGGUGGUGUAGAGGUGAAAUUCGUAGAUAUCACUAGGAACACCGGCGGCGAAAGCGGCUAUCUGGACGAGGACUGACACUGAGAUGCGAAAGCGUGGGGAGCAAACAGG